UGCAACUGCAGUGCCAUAGCCCAACAGAAAAAUGGCAGGGGAAGAGAUCAACAUAAGAACUAUUGGAAACUUCAAUAUUAGAGAAACAAAAUAUGAUGUGCAAAUAGUUAUUUGACAAAGCACAAAAGGAAAUGCCUGUAUGUAGAUUAUGGUUACCGGACAGGGUUUGCAUGAUACAGGAUAAAGAGUGACGCAGUAAAAGAUGAAUCUCGAUCUUUGCUGAUCCAAUCCUUUAGUUAACCCACUGAAAUUUCAUCUCUAUCUCUACUACUUAUAAAAGCACAAACAUAUUCAUCCCAACGUCCACCCAACUAAACGUACACGGACAAAUAAUAACCCCACAGUCAGCCCGGGGGCACUGCCAGGGCGUCGUGCUGUUGAAUUUAUGCGCAGGCAACGCAGGAAUCAAAUUGCCGGUUCAUUCUUAUUUCCCUUUCUUACUUUCCUUCGCGAUUCACUGUCCAGAGAGUAAGGGCAUUAGCAGCAGCCUUGAUUUCUUAUCAUUUCUCCAUGCUGCCACCAAAGGGAAUUAGCACGGCUGCUUCUUUGGUAGAUUUCAUUACGAGUUGUUAUCAUGUUCUGGCAUAUGGAUUUGUUUUAGACAUGAUAUUUAUCUACAAGAAGUUAUGAAUAUUGGAAGAUGUGCAGAACCACCGUGUGUCUCUAUAUAAAAAGCCAUUAUUUACUCAAUUGAAUAUUUGGAUUAUGAUUCCUUUAAUUUUCAGUGUUUGCUCAAUGUUUAAUCUGUAUUCUAUCUCCAGGCCAACCAUGUGGUUGUUAAUUUAAUGGCAUGCACAUUCACAUCACAUAGCAAGAGGCUAUUGUAUGUGCUGUCGGCGUCACUCUCCAGGACAUCAGGUCACUCAGAAACCAGCCGCCAAUGCAGUCGUCGCCCGUCUACAAGGUGCCCGUCCUAUCCGGCCCCCAUCCCUUCCGCACGUUGCUUGGGGACUGAACCGAGAAUCUCCGCAAUCUUUGCGCUGCUAAAUAGAGAACGCCUGAUCCCUGCUCUCCCAAAAUCUUCAGCUCUCUCCUCUGAAUUUAGUAGUUUGCUUCCUGCAGCACGCGACAGUCUCCAGUUUCCAUAACCUUCACUCCCUAGCUCCCAGAUCAGAAUGAACAAAACUUCACUCCACGCUACCACACCAUCAUCGACACUUUCUUGCAUCAUUUUCUGGUCUAAUGAGAUUAGUUGAUUGAAGCAUAAAUUAUUUUCUUGUUCAUAAAUCAGAGGGCAUUGGAAUCACGCGGUUCCGUAAAAGAGCAAAAAACACAAUUUCAAUUUUAUAUACGUGGAUCUGAUCUUUAGGAUGUUUUGGUAAAUUCAAUUCCUCUGCAUAUUUAAAUAGUUUAGCGAUGUUAGUUUGUGAAAUCUGGCCACUAAUAUGCUCAACAAUGAAUUUUGGUGUGUUUCUGUGUUGACUGCAGGUCUUUCAUGAUUUGUUUUCUACACUGGUCCAUGAUGCUUGAUUUAUUACGAUGUCUUUGAUUGUGAGCAGGGCAUUGGAGGCAUCAUGGGGGCAUUGUCUUGCAAUUUUGGCGAUCUCAAUGAAGGUGAAGAGAGUUAUCUGAAUAUCUAUGAUGCCCGUCAAUUAGCUCUGGAAUGCAUAUAUGACCAUGUCAUGCCCAAUUUCAGAGAGAAAACUUCUGAACCAUCAGGCAAAUUGAGGGACAAAUGUUUGACAGUACUUCUCUUCCUUCAAAGCAGAAAUAUACUACCGUUGACGUGUAAAUGAACAUUCUUUUUUUACUGGAAUCGGCAGGCAGCAGCUGAUGGAUUAUACUAUUCUUUACUUGUAUUGCCAUUUAUACAUGUAGUUGUAUGCAGAAUCAGAAUUGGUGCAUCGAGCCUGUUCAAUGCAACACAAGCAACAUGACCGUUCUUGGUGGCAUGAAGUUUCCAGCAAGCUAGGUAAUUGCAAUCACUUGGUGUAGUGUACCAGGUUUGAGACCCUAUCACCUUAUAGUAGUUGCACACUGAUACAUGAAUGCUAUUGUCACACUGAUAGGUCCUGAUGUGCAGUAUUUGUAAUUUCAGAGAAUAACUGUACGUGUUUUCUUAGCUGAAAGAACAAUUGUUCGGGUGAGGAAGUAAUUGUAAUUUUCCAUCUAAGGCCGUACUGCCUCCAAUAACUGCUGAUUAUACUUGGAUUUUGUGAUUUUGGUAUAUUACUGCAACAACGGUCGAUGGACAACUUGUCCAAUAACCUUUGCUUAUUAUCAUGGAGUCUUCAUAGCAUUGAGCUUACAAACCCCAAAUAUAUCCAUGGUAAUGUUGGACUUGUCCAAUAACCUUGCUUAUUAUCAUGGAGUCUACAUAGCAUUGAGCUUACAACGUAAGUGCAAGGCAGGAUACAGUGGAUUAAAUUUUUAUUCUUCAUGCCUACAAACCCCAAAUAUAAGUCUUGUUUGGAGAUACGCAUUAGCUUUCUGUAGUUCCGUCAAAACUCCCAGUAGCUUUAUAUGUGCUUGUGAUUUCAUGAAUGAAGAGCACCGAUUUGACUGUUGUUCAUAUAUUAUCACUGUUGGCUUCAGAGUUUCAGUUGCAAAAAAAUCACAUCAUUCGAGCUAACUGGCACAUAGAGAAUUAGCAAUGUUGUGCUUGCGGUCAUUCAAUACCUGAGUAAGGACCUAAUAGCUAUCUUGAAUGUGUGCAGUUUAUUGUUCUGUCUUAGCUUGCUUGCGGCUUCUAAAUUCUGAGAGUUGAAUGCAUCGAUGAACUGGCAAUGCAUAGGGAACUCCUUCAUGUUCAUCUGGAAACAGGGAACGAAAAGACUUGUAGAUAUUUUUUUUUCAUUGAUUUUUAUCUUUGUUACAUCAACUAUCAUUUAGGGCAAGUUUAAUUCUUCAGAACGUAUACGAUGAGUUGAGAAAUUAGUGUUGUAGUUGAACAUGAUGAUUUUGAAUAUUGUCUAUGUUCAAAUGAGAUUGAUUCGACUUCAGUGUAUUAGGGUGCAUGUUUUUUUAAAAGUCAUCAUGGUUCGGAUUUGAUGAUUUUAUGAAGAAAGUGUGGGCAUUUUUGGAGGCCAACUUUAGCAUUUUGGCUUAAAAAUAAAUAAGAUGGAAACAAAUUGUAAAAAUACAAGUCAUCAUAUAUAAAAGGUAUAAAAAAAGGUAUAAUUCAAAUUGUCGCUAGACGUGCGUUGCACGUGCCAGCUCACUAGUCAUAGUAGAUAGACAAACUUACAAAGAUUGAA
This is a long non-coding RNA of Brachypodium distachyon (stiff brome), 3197 nucleotides long. RefSeq lists it as uncharacterized. The transcript has 3 exons. NCBI's taxonomy places the organism in Eukaryota, Viridiplantae, Streptophyta, Magnoliopsida, Poales, Poaceae. The record is from RefSeq and is a predicted model, not a curated record.